AUUGAACGCUGGCGGCAGGCCUAACACAUGCAAGUCGAGCGGUAGCACAGAGAGCUUGCUCUCGGGUGACGAGCGGCGGACGGGUGAGUAAUGUCUGGGAAACUGCCUGAUGGAGGGGGAUAACUACUGGAAACGGUAGCUAAUACCGCAUAACGUCGCAAGGCCAAAGUGGGGGACCUUCGGGCCUCAUGCCAUCAGAUGUGCCCAGAUGGGAUUAGCUGGUAGGUGGGGUAACGGCUCACCUAGGCGACGAUCCCUAGCUGGUCUGAGAGGAUGACCAGCCACACUGGAACUGAGACACGGUCCAGACUCCUACGGGAGGCAGCAGUGGGGAAUAUUGCACAAUGGGCGCAAGCCUGAUGCAGCCGUGCCGCGUGUGUGAAGAAGGCCUUCGGGUUGUAAAGCACUUUCAGCGGGGAGGAAGGCAUUAAGGUUAAUAACCUUAGUGAUUGACGUUACCCGCAGAAGAAGCACCGGCUAACUCCGUGCCAGCCGCCGCCGUAA
RNAcentral lists this ribosomal RNA (504 nucleotides) under uncultured bacterium. RNAcentral's name for it is "partial 16S ribosomal RNA". It matches the Rfam family "Bacterial small subunit ribosomal RNA", at positions 30 to 523 of the family's 1533-position model. The record is from RNAcentral.